GACGAACGCUGGCGGCGUGCUUAACACAUGCAAGUCGAGCGGUAAGGCCCUUUCGGGGGUACACGAGCAGCGAACGGGUGAGUAACACGUGGGUGACCUGCCCUCAGCUCUGGGAUAAGCCCGGGAAACUGGGUCUAAUACUGGAUAUGACUCCAUGACGCAUGUUGUGGGGUGGAAAGCCUGUGCGGCUGAGGAUGGGGCCCGCGGCCUAUCAGCUUGUGGUGGGGUGAUGGCCUACCAAGGCGACGACGGGUAGCCGGCCUGAGAGGGCGACCGGCCACACUGGGACUGAGACACGGCCCAGACUCCUACGGGAGGCAGCAGUGGGGAAUCUUGCGCAAUGGGCGAAAGCCUGACGCAGCGACGCCGCGUGAGGGA
This 378-nucleotide ribosomal RNA is filed under the name uncultured bacterium. RNAcentral's name for it is "bacterial SSU rRNA". It matches the Rfam family "Bacterial small subunit ribosomal RNA", at positions 28 to 408 of the family's 1533-position model. The record is from RNAcentral.